This 163-nucleotide ribosomal RNA is filed under the name Castelnavia multipartita f. multipartita. RNAcentral describes it as "5.8S ribosomal RNA". It matches the Rfam family "5.8S ribosomal RNA". From Rfam's summary of the family: 5.8S ribosomal RNA (5.8S rRNA) is a component of the large subunit of the eukaryotic ribosome. It is transcribed by RNA polymerase I as part of the 45S precursor that also contains 18S and 28S rRNA. Functionally, it is thought that 5.8S rRNA may be involved in ribosome translocation. Lineage: Eukaryota; Viridiplantae; Streptophyta; Magnoliopsida; Malpighiales; Podostemaceae. The record is from RNAcentral.
AAACGACUCUUGGCAACGGAUAUCUAGGCUCUUGCAUCGAUGAAGAACGUAGCGAAAUGCGAUACUUGGUGUGAAUUGCAGAAUCCCGUGAAUCAUCGAGUCUUUGAACGCAAGUUGCGCCCGAAGCCUUUUGGUCGAGGGCACGUCUGCCUGGGUGUUAUUA